RNAcentral lists this ribosomal RNA (468 nucleotides) under uncultured bacterium. RNAcentral describes it as "partial 16S ribosomal RNA". It matches the Rfam family "Bacterial small subunit ribosomal RNA", at positions 28 to 507 of the family's 1533-position model. The record is from RNAcentral.
GACGAACGCUGGCGGCGUGCUUAACACAUGCAAGUCGAACGGAAAGGCCCUGCUUUUGUGGGGUGCUCGAGUGGCGAACGGGUGAGUAACACGUGAGUAACCUGCCCUUGACUUUGGGAUAACUUCAGGAAACUGGGGCUAAUACCGGAUAGGAGCUCCUGCUGCAUGGUGGGGGUUGGAAAGUUUCGGCGGUUGGGGAUGGACUCGGGGCUUAUCAGCUUGUUGGUGGGGUAGUGGCUUACCAAGGCUUUGACGGGUAGCCGGCCUGAGAGGGUGACCGGCCACAGUGGGACUGCGAUACGGCCCAGACUGCUACGGGAGGCAGCAGUGGGGAAUAUUGCACAAUGGGCGGAAGCCUGAUGCAGCAACGCCGCGUGCGGGAUGACGGCCUUCGGGUUGUAAACCGCUUUCGCCUGUGACGAAGCGUGAGUGACGGUAAUGGGUAAAGAAGCACCGGCUAACUACGUG